AUUAAGUUAGUUUAAUUAACAAAACAUCAAGUUGUGGUCUUGAAAAUAAAUAAAAAAUUUACUUAAUA
RNAcentral lists this transfer RNA (68 nucleotides) under Montfortula punctata. RNAcentral's name for it is "tRNA-His". The record is from RNAcentral. Lineage: Eukaryota; Metazoa; Mollusca; Gastropoda; Lepetellida; Fissurellidae.